Molecule: long non-coding RNA, 816 nt
Organism: Magallana angulata
Lineage: Eukaryota; Metazoa; Mollusca; Bivalvia; Ostreida; Ostreidae
Exons: 2
Source: RefSeq, a predicted model, not a curated record
CACCACAGUCGUUAACUCAAAAGUUCCCCGAUCUACCUUAAAACAAGUUAAAUUCUCUAUAUUUCAAACUCCACUUCAUUGCUUUUAAAGGCAGGUACUUGCAAAAAGUAUAUUACAACAGAAAAUAGAAAAAAAUAUACAAUACUGUGGAUUCAGGAAUAUUUGUACACAUUCAAUUCAUCAGAAGAAGUUACUAGAAAUAGAAAAAAACAAGUUGGCAAUGCAGAAGGAAAACCUAGUUACAGCAAAAAAAGAAAUUGGUCUUUUUGAGGAGUUUAUGUAUUUUAUAAAGACAUCGUACGAAGAAAGUAAACAAAGAGAUACAAGAGGAUUUUUUGGUUAACGACAUUUCUCUUUCAUAGGCGACCGACAGUAUGUACACAUCAACAUGUUAUAAUUUAUUACAUUAAUUGAAAAUAUGUUUUAUCAAUGUUUAAAAUAGCACCAAAAACAUAUUAAGUAACACAAAAAUAUAUUAACACAAAAGCCAAUGUUACAAGAUACACGUACUGUGUUUAUUAAUUGAACAUGUUACUUUUUCAGCUAUGCUCUAUAUAAUAUCUAUAACGUAUAAUUGCACAAAUAACAGGGUACUUGUUCUGUAGAUUAAAGGGGCAAAAAAUAGCUUUUUUUAUAAUCACUUGCUUAGUUUUACACUAUUAAGCAUUUACUUAUGUCGUAUGUAUUCUAUUUUGUAAGACAAAAUAAUGAUAAGUAUGUUAAAUGUAUAUGUUGAUGUAAAAUAUUGACAAAGGAAAAAGAAAAUAUUUAGAGUUGUCAUACAUUACACGUUCCUGAAUAAAGAUAGUGAGAUAA